GAGUUUGAUCCUGGCUCAGGAUGAACGCUGGCGGCGUGCUUAACACAUGCAAGUCGAACGAACCUUCGGGUUAGUGGCGGACGGGUGAGUAACGCGUGAGAAUCUGCCCUCAGGAGGGGGACAACAGCUGGAAACGGCUGCUAAUACCCCAUAUGCCGCGAGGUGAAAUGAAUUUCGCCUGAGGAUGAGCUCGCGUCUGAUUAGCUAGUUGGUGGGGUAAGAGCUUACCAAGGCAUCGAUCAGUAGCUGGUCUGAGAGGAUGAUCAGCCACACUAGGACUGAGACACGGCCCAGACUCCUACGGGAGGCAGCAGUGGGGAAUUUUCCGCAAUGGGCGAAAGCCUGACGGAGCAACGCCGCGUGAGGGAUGAAGGCCUCUGGGCUGUAAACCUCUUUUCUCAAGGAAGAAGAUCUGACGGUACUUGAGGAAUAAGCCACGGCUAAUUCCGUGCCAGCAGCCGCGGUAAUACGGGAGUGGCAAGCGUUAUCCGGAAUUAUUGGGCGUAAAGCGUCCGCAGGCGGCCCUUCAAGUCUGCUGUUAAAAAGUGGAGCUUAACUCCAUCGUGGCAGUGGAAACUGUUGGGCUAGAGUGUGGUAGGGGCAGAGGGAAUUCCCGGUGUAGCGGUGAAAUGCGUAGAUAUCGGGAAGAACACCAGUGGCGAAGGCGCUCUGCUGGGCCAUAACUGACGCUCAUGGACGAAGCCAGGGGAGCGAAAGGGAUUAGAUACCCCUGUAGUCCUGGCCGUAACGAUGAACACUAGGUGUCGGGGGAAUCGACCCCCUCGGUGUCGUAGCCAACGCGUUAAGUGUUCCGCCUGGGGAGUACGCACGCAAGUGUGAAACUCAAAGGAAUUGACGGGGGCCCGCACAAGCGGUGGAGUAUGUGGUUUAAUUCGAUGCAACGCGAAGAACCUUACCAGGGUUUGACAUCCUGCGAAUCUCCUGGAAACGGGAGAGUGCCUUCGGGAACACAGUUGA
Molecule: ribosomal RNA, 978 nt
Filed under: uncultured bacterium
Lineage: Bacteria
Description: bacterial SSU rRNA
Rfam family: Bacterial small subunit ribosomal RNA
Source: RNAcentral